Molecule: long non-coding RNA, 939 nt
Filed under: Marmota monax (woodchuck)
Lineage: Eukaryota; Metazoa; Chordata; Mammalia; Rodentia; Sciuridae
Source: RNAcentral
GAGAUCAUCAGUUUUAUAUUUUAGAAAGAUAGCUCAAAGUGCUUCGUGGCGCUGGUGAGGCAGGCUGCUGCUGUAAUAUUCCUUAUUGGAGAAGGCCCAUGGUUGAACUUAGACCAUAUAUCAGAGGCAAUGGAGAUAAAGAAAUGGCUUUUAGAGACAGGUAGGAGGAAGAAACCUAGAACUCAGUAAUUCAAAACCGUAAAUCAAGCAUACUCUUGGGAGGCAGAUAUUAUUUCCAGAAGCUGUCUCACCUUAUCUACUAGAGUUGUUUCUUUUUAUGUCAUUUGAUGAAACCAAUUAGAAAUAUGUUCAGAAUGUCUUCUUCAUCACAAAUAAGGUUGUCAUCCUGCACAUUCAGGAGAAAUAGAUGUGACUCUGACAACUCUCAGUCCUAUAUACAGUUGGCAGUUCAUCAUGCUUGGUGAGUGACAAAACACUACAAAUAAGGACCCUAAUUCUCAUAGCCCAGUGCCCUAAGCCACAGAGAAACUAAUAAGAUAAUUUGAACAUAUUUAAUGGUGGCACUCAUUCACAGGAGUGUUAUCCAUUUUAUUUAAGCCUUAUCCUGAUAUUGAAAAAAUCUAAACCUGUCACCAGACCAAAUUGAAACUCCUCUUUCUCUUUCUAUAGUAUUACAAACACUUUUAAAAUUUCAUUUAAAAAAAUUGGUGCCUUGUAAUUAUAUGUGAUAGUGAGAUUCGUUAAUGCCAUAUUCAUACAUGUACAUAAUAUACCAUCAUUUUUUGACACUGUUGGCACUCACAUGCAACCAGACCCCUAAUCCCCAGGGAUUCUGUUUAACUCCAAAUCCAGGACUCUCUGCCUUCACUUCUCUAUCCAAAGAAAGUAUCCAAGUUAGAGGAACUUUGGUUCUCACAUAUAGAACCGAAGUCUGGGAACAUCUAGCACCAGAGUAACAACUGCAUGAAGAAGAAACAU